GAGUUUGAUCAUGGCUCAGGAUGAACGCUGGCGGCGUGCUUAACACAUGCAAGUCGAACGAAGCGCCUUAUUUGAUUUUCUUCGGAACUGAAGAUUUGGUGACUGAGUGGCGGACGGGUGAGUAACGCGUGGGGUAACCUGCCCUGUACAGGGGGAUAACAAUCAGAAAUGACUGCUAAUACCGCAUAAGACCACAGCACCGCAUGGUGCAGGGGUAAAAACUCCGGUGGUACAGGAUGGACCCGCGUCUGAUUAGCUGGUUGGUGAGGUAACGGCUCACCAAGGCGACGAUCAGUAGCCGGCUUGAGAGAGUGAACGGCCACAUUGGGACUGAGACGACGGUCCCAAACUCCUACGGGAGGCAGCAGUGGGGAUAUUGCACAAUGGGGAAACCCUGAUGCAGCAACGCGCGUGAGUGAAGAAGUAUUUCGGUAUGUAAA
Molecule: ribosomal RNA, 440 nt
Filed under: uncultured microorganism
Description: bacterial SSU rRNA
Rfam family: Bacterial small subunit ribosomal RNA
Source: RNAcentral